GGAGGCGUGGCAGAGCGGCCGAAUGCACCGGUCUUGAAAACCGGCGAAGGGCAACCUUCCGAGGGUUCAAAUCCCUCCGCCUCCG
This 85-nucleotide transfer RNA is filed under the name Corynebacterium maris DSM 45190. Its description in RNAcentral is "tRNA-Ser (TGA) (tRNA-Ser-TGA-1-1)". It matches the Rfam family "tRNA". Rfam says of the family: Transfer RNA (tRNA) molecules are approximately 80 nucleotides in length. Their secondary structure includes four short double-helical elements and three loops (D, anti-codon, and T loops). The record is from Rfam by way of RNAcentral. Lineage: Bacteria; Bacillati; Actinomycetota; Actinomycetes; Mycobacteriales; Corynebacteriaceae.